This 1399-nucleotide ribosomal RNA is filed under the name Hepatozoon canis. Its description in RNAcentral is "SSU rRNA". It matches the Rfam family "Bacterial small subunit ribosomal RNA". The record is from RNAcentral. Lineage: Eukaryota; Apicomplexa; Hepatozoidae.
AAAGUUCUGGUAAUUUAUAUGAGUUUGAUCUUAGCUCAGAAUGAACGCGUGGGGAAUACUUUACACAUGCUAAUCAAUGACAUUUAAGUGUCAUGGUGUAUUGGUGAGUAAUAUAAAAGAAUUUAUUUCUAGAUUAAGAAUAAUAUAUUAAAUUUUAAUAAACGCAUAAGUGUACUUAAAAGUUAUAACUGUCUAGGAAUGAGCUUUUAUCUAAUUAGCUACUUAGUAUAAUAAUACUAUAUUAAGGCGACAAUUAGUAGCUGGCCUGAGAGGGUGAUCAGCCACAUUGGGAUUGAGAUACAGCCCAACCCUUAUAUAAGGGCAGCAGUGAGGAAUAUUUUGCAAUAAGCGCAAGCUUGACAGAGUCAUUUCCCGUGAAGGAAGAAGGUAUUAAGAUAUUGUAAACUUCAGUUACAUAAUUUACUAAAUACUGAUAGUAGUAAGUAAAAAUAUCGGCUAAUUUCGUGCCAGCAGCCGCGGUAAUACGAAAGAUAUUAGCGUUAUUCGGAAUUAUUGGGCGUAAAAUGUGUGUAGAUUGUUUGUUAAGUUUUAACUUAAAUAUUUUAUUUAAUAAAAUAGAGUUUAGUAAAUACUAACAACACUAGAGGGUUAAAGAAAUAAAACGAAUUUUUUAGGUAGUAGUUUAAUACGUUGAUCUAAAAAGGAAGACUAAGUGCGAAAGCUUUUUAUUAUUUAAUCCCUGACAUUGAUACACUAAAGCUAGGGGAUCAAAUGAGAUUAGAGACCUCAGUAGUCCUGGCUGUAAAUUAUGAAAACUAAAAAUAUUUAAGUUAUUUUAAAGCUAACGCGUAAGUUUUCUGCCUGGGUAGUACGUUUGAAAAAAUGAAACUUAAAAGAAUUGGCGGGGAUUCUUACAAGCGGUGGGGUAUGUGAUUUAAUUCGAUGCAACACGAAAGACCUUACCAAAAUUAGACUAAAACAGGUAGUGCAUGGCUGACGUCAGUCUGUGCCGUGAGGCCAUGGAUUUAGUUCCGUAACAGACGAAACCCUUUUUUAAUAUUAUAAUAUUAUAUACCGAUAUUUAUUAUAUAUAAAUAUAGGAAGGUAAGGAAGACGUCAAGUCCUCAUGCUCCUUAUAUUUUGGGACACCACAUGCCACAUUGGAAAAUAUAAUUAUUAUUAUCGAAAGAUAUAAUUAAAACUAUAAAGUUUUCCUAGGUACGGAGUUUAGAUUGAAACCAUCUAAACAAAGAAGGAAUCGCUAGUAAUCACUUAUCAGGAUGUAGUGGUGAAUAGAUUUAAGAGUCCUGUACACACCGCCCGUCACAUCAUGGAAAUAUAUAAUUAUAAAAAUAAUUUAUGAUUAUUAUAUAAUAAUAUAUAACUGGGAUGAAGUCGUAACAAGGUAGCAGUACUGGAAGGUGCGGCUAGAAAAUUU